Molecule: long non-coding RNA, 232 nt
Organism: Coccinella septempunctata (seven-spotted ladybird)
Lineage: Eukaryota; Metazoa; Arthropoda; Insecta; Coleoptera; Coccinellidae
Exons: 4
Source: RefSeq, a predicted model, not a curated record
UACAGGUUGCUGACGAUAUCAACGUAACUUCCCUUCGUUUGGCAGAACAAACAAGGUUGCUGACGAUAUCAACGUGACUUCCCUUCGGUUGGCAGAAAAAACAAGGGUCAACGUUGAUACACCACUACAUCAUGCAGAUGGCUUUCUCUGCUGACAGCUCCGUGAAGAACUGGAAUUUAAGUUCUGGACUGCCCUUAAUGGAUCCGUUGAUGAGAAAAUGGUAAGUUUGGAC